UCCCGCCCUCACGAGGUUCACUUCCUGCUCCGGUGCAGCUGCCAUAUUUGUUACAGAUACAAAAAUAACAGUUUUAAAUAACAGUUUGUAUUAAAAGGUGUAUUUGCAGGUGAGCUAGCUGUCGGGUCAGAAUCAUAUCAGGCGACUUAACAUCGAGGGACUCUACAAGAGGAGAAGAUCUGUUUGUUACGCGGAGGGAUACACAAACCGCUUCACAGCCUCGGAGGGAUUCGUUCUGUUAGCAUUAUCUUAGCAGAGAGCAGUAGCCCAAAGAGAAGCCGCGAUGUCUCUGGUGGACCUGGGGAAGCGUCUGCUGGAAGCGGCUCGUAAAGGUCAGGACGAUGAGGUCAGGAACCUGAUGGCCAACGGAGCGCCGUUCACCACCGACUGGGUGAGAAUACCGUCUGUUCAACGUUACCACUAAUGUUAAAAAACUCUCACUCGUCCCCGUCUUGAGCUUGAAUCUCAGGAUCCAUGUAUCUGUG
Long non-coding RNA from Notothenia coriiceps (black rockcod), 485 nucleotides. RefSeq lists it as uncharacterized. Lineage: Eukaryota; Metazoa; Chordata; Actinopteri; Perciformes; Nototheniidae. The record is from RefSeq and is a predicted model, not a curated record. The transcript is spliced from 3 exons.